This 831-nucleotide ribosomal RNA is filed under the name uncultured Bacteroidota bacterium. RNAcentral describes it as "bacterial SSU rRNA". It matches the Rfam family "Bacterial small subunit ribosomal RNA", at positions 481 to 1320 of the family's 1533-position model. The record is from RNAcentral. Lineage: Bacteria; Pseudomonadati; Bacteroidota.
UAGGAAUAAGGACCGGCUAACUCCGUGCCAGCAGCCGGGGUAAUACGGAGGGUCCGAGCGUUAUCCGGAAUCAUUGGGUUUAAAGGGUCCGUAGGUGGGGUUCUAAGUCAGAGGUGAAAGGUUGCAGCUCAACUGUAGAAUUGCCUUUGAUACUGGAGCUCUUGAGUUAUGUUGCUGUGGCCGGAACAUGUGGUGUAGCGGUGAAAUGCAUAGAUAUCACAUAGACACCGAUUGCGAAGGCAGGUCACAAAGCAUACACUGACACUGAGGGACGAAAGCGUGGGGAGCGAACGGGAUUAGAUACCCCGGUAGUCCACGCCGUAAACGAUGGAUACUAGCUGUUGGGUUUUCGGACUCGGCGGCCAAGCGAAAGUGAUAAGUAUCCCACCUGGGGAGUACGUUCGCAAGAAUGAAACUCAAAGGAAUUGACGGGGGCCCGCACAAGCGGUGGAGCAUGUGGUUUAAUUCGAUGAUACGCGAGGAACCCUUACCAGAGCUUAAGUGGGAGAUGACCGGGUCAGAGACGACCCUUUCUUCGGACAUCUUUCAAGGUGCUGCAUGGUUGUCGUCAGCUCGUGCCGUGAGGUGUCAGGUUAAGUCCUAUAACGAGCGCAACCCUGCCGUUAGUUGCCAGCGAGUCAAGUCGGGGACUCUAACGGGACUGCCGGUGCAAACCGAGAGGAAGGUGGGGACGACGUCAAAUCAUCACGGCCCUUACGUCCUGGGCUACAUACGUGCUACAAUGGUCGGUACAAUGGGAAGCCACCCCGUGAGGGGGCGCGGAUCUUAAAAGCCGAUCACAGUUCGGAUCGGGGCUGCAACUCGACCCCG